This 468-nucleotide ribosomal RNA is filed under the name uncultured organism. RNAcentral's name for it is "partial 16S ribosomal RNA". It matches the Rfam family "Bacterial small subunit ribosomal RNA", at positions 331 to 796 of the family's 1533-position model. The record is from RNAcentral.
GUACACUCCUGCGGGAGGCAGCAGUGAGGAAUAUUGGACAAUGGGUGGAAGCCUGAUCCAGCCAUCCCGCGUGCAGGAAGACGGCCCUAUGGGUUGUAAACUGCUUUUAUCUGGGGAUAAACCUACUUACGUGUAAGUAGCUGAAGGUACCAGAAGAAUAAGCACCGGCUAACUCCGUGCCAGCAGCCGCGGUAAUACGGAGGGUGCAAGCGUUAUCCGGAUUUAUUGGGUUUAAAGGGUCCGUAGGCGGACUGAUAAGUCAGUGGUGAAAUCCGACAGCUUAACUGUCGAACUGCCAUUGAUACUGUUAGUCUUGAGUAAGGUUGAAGUGGCUGGAAUAAGUAGUGUAGCGGUGAAAUGCAUAGAUAUUACUUAGAACACCAAUUGCGAAGGCAGGUCACUAAGUCUUAACUGACGCUGAUGGACGAAAGCGUGGGGAGCGAACAGGAUUAGAAACCCCUGUAGUCC